This is a long non-coding RNA of Musa acuminata AAA Group (dessert banana), 2589 nucleotides long. RefSeq lists it as uncharacterized. The record is from RefSeq and is a predicted model, not a curated record. The transcript is spliced from 2 exons. NCBI's taxonomy places the organism in Eukaryota, Viridiplantae, Streptophyta, Magnoliopsida, Zingiberales, Musaceae.
CAUUCAUCGACCUUUGUCGCUCCUGUAGUUCGCGAGAGCGGCGCCAUGGCGAGGGAUGACGACCCUUCUUGCUUUGCGAGAGGGAUGGCAAAUGGUGCGUUUCUCCUCUUCUCUCGAUUCGGUUCGGUUCUUUGCCCUAUACGUUCUUCAUUUGUAGCAUUUUUCCCCAUUCCAUGCUAUGGAGUUCGAUGCUUGAGUCCUUUUCUGAGUGAAUCAUUUGGUCAAAGACGUGGCAUCUUCGAGGAGAAAUCGUUCUGCUCGUAGAUCAGUAGCUUCAUCUUAAAGUCGAUCUUUCUCUAUUCUGCCAAAACGAAUUUACACUCUGGAAACAGUGAGAUUGGAUAUAAUGGGAUUGGUUGCUGAUAAUGCGGGCGAUGUCCGGUGAAUGAGACGGAUCUAGGUGCAAGAUGCAUCUCAACAAAACAAAAGGAUGCUAAUGGGAUUGGUCGCUAGUUGCCCCUAAACUUUCCCUCAAAUGGCCAUGAGAUCCUCGUACUUUUCAAGUUCUGCAGAUUUACUCAAAUUUGUGCUCGUCACUUUUGAAGUAUAUUCUAGUAAGAAAGAGGUUUCACUAUGUGUGUGAUUUUUGGAUCUUAGCCAUGCGUUAAUCUCUCACAAAUACAAUCUGGGUGGCCUUGAACGUAGACGUUGAAGAAGUAGCCUAACAAGAGUAUAUUGUCUAAACUGGAAAAAAAAAGGGUCUAUUUCUUGAUAUCAGGGAAAAGAAAAUAUUCAUGUUAAGAUUACUCACAAUAUUUCUUGAUUUUAGAAAAGAAAAAUUUAUGUUAUUCACACUAUUUCUUGAUGGAAACAUUCAUGUUAAGAUGACUCCCACUUAGCAACUGUUACCUUACUCGUACAAUGAAUUUCCUAAGUGCAUAUAUUCUUCACCAUAGAUCUUGAUUGUAGCUAAAAUUUAUCGAACUAUUUUCUUCUGGUAUGAUGCAAAAUUAGCCAAAUCAGACAUUUAUGUGCUCCUAUAGGCUUUCUCUCUAAGCUUUGCAUAUAAGUGGUGCUUUUGGUGAAAAUUCCUGUCUUGGGAAUUUUUGCUAAGCAUACAAGGAGAGAAACCUUUUGUCGAAGCACAUAUCUCUGAUGAUAACAGCGAGAUUGGUUACCUGCUGACCGGAUAUUUUCUGUACUUUUUCCCCGAGUCAAGAAGCAAAGGGCCAUUUCCUUUUCAAGGGAUUUAUGAGAGAGAGCUUCAUCUCUGCUCAGUUGAAUUCGGACAAGUGGUCUUUGCUUGAUCAAUAGGCUUAUGGUUAUAGUUUCUUCUUUCCUGAGGUAGCUUUAUCAGUCAUCUCACAUGCGCAUUUUGUUGUUUUGCAGAUUUUGAACCAGUUUGAGUGGUUUUUGACCAUUUUGUUGUUGUUUUAACUUUUAAGUGAUCGACAUGGUUUCUAGAAUCAAUCGUCUUAUUUCUUCUAUAAACGAACUUUAUUAUUACAAAUCCUUUAUUCAAAUCUUAUCCACCAUGAGCGUGAGCUUUUCCAGCCAACUGAGUAGUCCAAGGGGUUUUCACUAAAUUCAUGGAGAAGUCCCAAACUGUGUUAACUAUAUACAAUUGAACUAUCACAUACAUAAUGAGCAGAUAUCAAUUCUUUUUAGAUGUAAUAUAGAAGAGACUAAAGAAAGAUUGACAGUUGAGUGGUUUUUGACUAUUUUGUUGUUGUUUUAACUUUUAAGUGAUCGGCAUGGUUUCUAGAAUCAAUCAUUUUAUUUCUUCAAUAAACGAACUUUAUUAUUGCAAAUCCUUGAUUUAAAUCUUAUCCACCAUGAGCGUGAGCUUCUCCAGCCAACUGAAUAGUCCAAGGGGUUUUCAUUAAAUUCAUGGAGAAGUCCCAAACAGUGUGUUAACUAUAUACAAUUGAACUAUCACAUACAUAAUGAGUAGAUAUCAAUUCUUUUUAGAUGUAAUAUAGAAGAGACUAAAGAAAGAUUGACAGUUGAGUGGUUUUUGACCAUUUUGUUGUUGUUUUAACUUUUAAGUGAUCGACAUGGUUUCUAGAAUCAAUCAUUUUAUUUCUUCAAUAAACGAACUUUAUUAUUGCAAAUCCUUGAUUCAAAUCUUAUCCACCAUGAGCGUGAGCUUGUCCAGCCAACAGAGUAGUCCAAGGCGUUUUCAUUAAAUUCAUGGAGAAAUCCCAAACAGUGUGUUAACUAUAUACAAUUGAACUAUCACAUACAUAAUGAGUAGAUAUUAAUUCUUUUUAGAUGUAAUAUAGAAGAGACUAAGGCAAAGAUUAGCAUGUGAUUAUUUUUAUUUAUUCCUAUUGAAAAAAUGAUGUAUGACAGAACUACAGUUUUCAGGAGACGUACAUAAGCAAAUUUAUGAUGGAUAAAUAUGUAAGUGUCAAGCUUAUGGGGUAUUACAGAUGGCAAGAAUGCUGUGAAGGUAUCCAUUUGUGAUUGUAUCAAUAUUGAUUCUGGUGUAUAUAUAUGUAUCAAGUUAAUCGAGUGCCACUGUUCUUUUGCUUCCUCAAAAUGAUUUUAUUUACUUUCAUUAAAUGUCAGAUGAGAUAUUGUUGGUGUAAAUUUUAAUCAAAUGGUUCACUUACGUUGUUUCUAUAUAAGUGGGGGCUUUGUGUA